GAUGAACGCUAGCUACAGGCUUAACACAUGCAAGUCGAGGGGCAGCAUGGUCUUAGCUUGCUAAGGCCGAUGGCGACCGGCGCACGGGUGAGUAACACGUAUCCAACCUGCCGUCUACUCUUGGACAGCCUUCUGAAAGGAAGAUUAAUACAAGAUGGCAUCAUGAGUCCGCAUGUUCACAUGAUUAAAGGUAUUCCGGUAGACGAUGGGGAUGCGUUCCAUUAGAUAGUAGGCGGGGUAACGGCCCACCUAGUCUUCGAUGGAUAGGGGUUCUGAGAGGAAGGUCCCCCACAUUGGAACCGAGACACGGUCCAAACUCCUACGGGAGGCAGCAGUGAGUAAUAUUGGUCAAUGGGCGAGAGCCUGAACCAGCCAAGUAGCGUGAAGGAUGACUGCCCUAUGGGUUGUAAACUUCUUUUAUAAAGGAAUAAAGUCGGGUAUGGAUACCCGUUUGCAUGUACUUUAUGAAUAAGGAUCGGCUAACUCCGUGCCAGCAGCCGCGGUAAUACGGAGGAUCCGAGCGUUAUCCGGAUUUAUUGGGUUUAAAGGGAGCGUAGAUGGAUGUUUAAGUCAGUUGUGAAAGUUUGCGGCUCAACCGUAAAAUUGCAGUUGAUACUGGAUAUCUUGAGUGCAGUUGAGGCAGGCGGAAUUCGUGGUGUAGCGGUGAAAUGCUUAGAUAUCACGAAGAACUCCGAUUGCGAAGGCAGCCUGCUAAGCUGCAACUGACAUUGAGGCUCGAAAGUGUGGGUAUCAAACAGGAUUAGAUACCCUGGUAGUCCACACGGUAAACGAUGAAUACUCGCUGUUUGCGAUAUACUGCAAGCGGCCAAGCGAAAGCGUUAAGUAUUCCACCUGGGGAGUACGCCGGCAACGGUGAAACUCAAAGGAAUUGACGGGGGCCCGCACAAGCGGAGGAACAUGUGGUUUAAUUCGAUGAUACGCGAGGAACCUUACCCGGGCUUAAAUUGCAGAUGAAUUACGGUGAAAGCCGUAAGCCGCAAGGCAUCUGUGAAGGUGCUGCAUGGUUGUCGUCAGCUCGUGCCGUGAGGUGUCGGCUUAAGUGCCAUAACGAGCGCAACCCUUGUUGUCAGUUACUAACAGGUUCCGCUGAGGACUCUGACAAGACUGCCAUCGUAAGAUGUGAGGAAGGUGGGGAUGACGUCAAAUCAGCACGGCCCUUACGUCCGGGGCUACACACGUGUUACAAUGGGGGGUACAGAGGGCCGCUACCACGCGAGUGGAUGCCAAUCCCCAAAACCUCUCUCAGUUCGGACUGGAGUCUGCAACCCGACUCCACGAAGCCGGAUUCGCUAGUAAUCGCGCAUCAGCCACGGCGCGGUGAAUACGUUCCCGGGCCUUGUACACACCGCCCGUCAAGCCAUGGGAGCCGGGGGUACCUGAAGUGCGUAACCGCGAGGAGCGCCCUAGGGUAAAACUGGUGACUGGGGCUAAG
RNAcentral lists this ribosomal RNA (1453 nucleotides) under uncultured organism. RNAcentral's name for it is "SSU rRNA". It matches the Rfam family "Bacterial small subunit ribosomal RNA". The record is from RNAcentral.